This 890-nucleotide ribosomal RNA is filed under the name Trichoderma lixii. Its description in RNAcentral is "LSU rRNA". It matches the Rfam family "Eukaryotic large subunit ribosomal RNA", at positions 43 to 962 of the family's 3401-position model. Lineage: Eukaryota; Fungi; Ascomycota; Sordariomycetes; Hypocreales; Hypocreaceae. The record is from RNAcentral.
UCAAUAAGCGGAGGAAAAGAAACCAACAGGGAUUGCCCCAGUAACGGCGAGUGAAGCGGCAACAGCUCAAAUUUGAAAUCUGGCCCCUAGGGUCCGAGUUGUAAUUUGUAGAGGAUGCUUUUGGUGAGGUGCCGCCCGAGUUCCCUGGAACGGGACGCCACAGAGGGUGAGAGCCCCGUCUGGCUGGCCGCCGAGCCUCUGUAAAGCUCCUUCGACGAGUCGAGUAGUUUGGGAAUGCUGCUCAAAAUGGGAGGUAUAUGUCUUCUAAAGCUAAAUAUUGGCCAGAGACCGAUAGCGCACAAGUAGAGUGAUCGAAAGAUGAAAAGCACCUUGAAAAGAGGGUUAAAUAGUACGUGAAAUUGUUGAAAGGGAAGCGCUUGUGACCAGACUUGGGCGCGGCGGAUCAUCCGGGGUUCUCUCCGGUGCACUUCGCCGCGUCUAGGCCAGCAUCAGUUCGUCGCGGGGGAAAAAGGCUUCGGGAACGUGGCUCCUCCGGGAGUGUUAUAGCCCGUUGCACAAUACCCUGCGGUGGACUGAGGACCGCGCAUCUGCAAGGAUGCUGGCGUAAUGGUCACCAGCGACCCGUCUUGAAACACGGACCAAGGAGUCGUCUUCGUAUGCGAGUGUUCGGGUGUCAAACCCCUACGCGUAAUGAAAGUGAACGCAGGUGAGAGCUUCGGCGCAUCAUCGACCGAUCCUGAUGUUCUCGGAUGGAUUUGAGUAAGAGCAUACGGGGCCGGACCCGAAAGAAGGUGAACUAUGCCUGUAUAGGGUGAAGCCAGAGGAAACUCUGGUGGAGGCUCGCAGCGGUUCUGACGUGCAAAUCGAUCGUCAAAUAUGGGCAUGGGGGGCGAAAGACUAAUCGAACCUUCUAGUAGCUGGUUUCCGCC